GGAAAAAAUGUAGAAGAUACU
This 21-nucleotide non-coding RNA is filed under the name Caenorhabditis elegans. The record is from RNAcentral. Lineage: Eukaryota; Metazoa; Nematoda; Chromadorea; Rhabditida; Rhabditidae.